This 252-nucleotide ribosomal RNA is filed under the name uncultured bacterium. RNAcentral describes it as "partial 16S ribosomal RNA". It matches the Rfam family "Bacterial small subunit ribosomal RNA", at positions 524 to 776 of the family's 1533-position model. The record is from RNAcentral.
UACGAAGGGGGCGAGCGUUGUUCGGAAUUACUGGGCGUAAAGGGCGCGCAGGCGGCCUUAGAAGUCAGAUGUGAAAGCCCCGGGCUCAACCUGGGAAUGGCAUUUGAUACUCUGAGGCUGGAGUACGGGAGAGGAGAGUGGAAUUCCCAGUGUAGAGGUGAAAUUCGUAGAUAUGGGAAGAACACCGGUGGCGAAGGCGGCUCUCUGGACCGUAACUGACGCUGAGGCGCGAAAGCGUGGGGAGCAAACAGG